RNAcentral lists this long non-coding RNA (1664 nucleotides) under Nicotiana tabacum (common tobacco). Its description in RNAcentral is "long non-coding RNA (NTAB_LNC007000)". Lineage: Eukaryota; Viridiplantae; Streptophyta; Magnoliopsida; Solanales; Solanaceae. The record is from RNAcentral.
AAAAACUAAGCUAGGCCCUUAGACCUAGACUAUACAAAAGAGGCAGUCGUUUAUCAUCUGAACCCGCACCCAAAGGGACCCCUCAUCUCAACAUCAUCUUCUUCAAAACUAACGCACAAAAUCAGCAGCCAUCUUCAACACUAACAGAGGAAACAAUCUAAAAACCUUGUAUUGAAGCUCCCAACUAUGACCCUUCUAGCCAAAACGACCCUUCAGCAUAUUCAACCUUACACCACAUCCACUUUUCUCGAUCUCCCUUCACCCUUGCACCCCACCUCCUUAAGCUAUGAGAAAAUGGCCUCACCAACACAUCCAUUAAUUGACUAAUAGGUGCUGGAAUUGGAUUCGAGUUCGACUAAGGUGAGGUUGAUUGAGGCGUUCAAGUUUGAUUUUUCGUUCGAGUUCUCGUCGCGCUGUAAUUUUCGAAGAUUUGAAUAUACCGGAAAGCGAUUCCAGGUCCAUGUCCUUUCUCCUUAUCUUACUGUUUGGUCUGAUUAUAAGUAUGAUAAGAGUUUUGGUUUGAAAUAGGUUUAGGCUUGGUAAUUUCCUCAUUAUCUAUUUCUUUAGAGUAGUUCAACACUAAUUCAGUUUUAAUCCAGAUCUGACUUUGGAUCCAAAUGCUUGAAUCCGUGUUCAAUAUAUUUAAAUAUGUCUUGUCUGAAAAAUGUUGUUUCUGGUAGUAGCGUGAUUUUCAUGGUUCCGUAUUUGAUUAAUCUAAACUCAAUGUUUGAGAUAAUAUCUUGUCAUGUGUUUGGACUUAACUGUUUAAUUUUAGAAUAAUAUUCCAAUACAUGUUCCUUUCAUUACUUUGCUAGUCUUUCUUGUAAAAUUGUUGAAAAUAUCAAUAGUAGUAUAACUUUGUGGAAUGAUUUAACCUUGUCUUCAUGUAUUUGGAUUUAAGUUAAGAUUGGCAUGGUAUUAUGAUACAUCUACUGUAAAUAUACUUUAGCAUGUUAACAUAUGUUACUGAAAAUUUCUUUCGACACUUUGGGAAUCCAGUUUAACUAGGAGUAAUUAAUUAUUUGUGUAAUCCGUUAUGCAAGAAAGUUCUCCAAUCUUCUUUGCUGCCUGUCAUGAGUUUUCGUUGAUCUAUCAGAGUGUAAAGGAAAUUUUACCUAUUUGACAUUAUAGUUUUAGUGGGGUCAUUUAGACUUAUUUAGGUGAAUUAUGAGUGUCACUUAGGAGUAAUACAUUGAUAAAGGAUCUCACAAUGACCCCCAUAGAGUUGGUUAGACUAAUCUUGAAGCAGCAAUCAUCUCCUGCAUCGCUUCUGCCAUAGAAUCAAUUAUCUCUUUAUCCCCACAACUCUGGUCAAAAGCAGGAGCUAUAUCUGAUGAACACUUCCUCUAUUUACAAGAUAUAUUCCUUGUUGUAGUUUGUUGUGAGGUAGCAGCGCUAUGUAAAGGUGUUGGCGAUGAAGGAUUUACAGGAGCCAAGUUGCUAGUUUCUUUACUGUUCCAACGUGUUUUGGAUAUCAUGUCUAUUUUGGAUGAUUAUUGAAUUUAAUUUAAAUUUGUUAUGAUGAAUAUAAGGUCAUGGGUUGGUUAUUAGAAGUUUAAAGAAAUUUUAGUUGAACAUGCUCUUUGUUUUACUUUAUUUAUUUAAUUCUAUAACUGUUAGGAGCAUGUUAGGCCGACAAUACUCGGGUAGGCGAACUUUUAGGC